CCUACGGGAGGCAGCAGUGAGGAAUAUUGGUCAAUGGACGAGAGUCUGAACCAGCCAAGUAGCGUGAAGGAUGACUGCCCUAUGGGUUGUAAACUUCUUUUAUAUGGGAAUAAAAUGUUCCACGUGUGGGAUUUUGUAUGUACCAUAUGAAUAAGGAUCGGCUAACUCCGUGCCAGCAGCCGCGGUAAUACGGAGGAUCCGAGCGUUAUCCGGAUUUAUUGGGUUUAAAGGGAGCGUAGGUGGAUUGUUAAGUCAGUUGUGAAAGUUUGCGGCUCAACCGUAAGAUUGCAGUUGAAACUGGCAGUCUUGAGUACAGUAGAGGUGGGCGGAAUUCGUGGUGUAGCGGUGAAAUGCUUAGAUAUCACGAAGAACUCCGAUUGCGAAGGCAGUUCACUGGACUGCAACUGACACUGAGGCUUGAAAGUGUGGGUAUCAAACAGGAUUAGAUACCCGAGUAGUC
Molecule: ribosomal RNA, 460 nt
Filed under: uncultured bacterium
Lineage: Bacteria
Description: partial 16S ribosomal RNA
Rfam family: Bacterial small subunit ribosomal RNA
Source: RNAcentral